UUUUAUGUCAUUUGAAGUGGAUUUGGACAGGUUUUGAGUGAAUUCUUUGACAAAGUUGACACCACAAUUUUUGAUGUCUGCGACAGGCGGCGGGUCAUGGUUUGGAGUGAAAAAAGGUCAAAAUUUCAGGUCUAGAUUUUUCACCUAAAAACUACUCAGGGGUAUGUAAAACUUAGUCAGGGGCAUGUUUUAUGUCAUUUGAAGUGGAUUUGGACAGGUUUUGAGUGAAUUCUUUGACAAAGUUGACACCACAAUUUUUGAUGUCUGCGACAGGCGGCGGGUCAUGGUUUGGAGUGAAAAAAGGUCAAAAUUUCAGGUCUAGAUUUUUCACCUAAAAACUACUCAGGGGUAUGUAAAACUUAGUCAGGGGCAUGUUUUAUGUCAUUUGAAGUGGAUUUGGACAGGUUUUGAGUGAAUUCUUUGACAAAGUUGACACCACAAUUUUUGAUGUCUGCGACAGGCGGCGGGUCAUCGUUUGGAGUGAAAAAAGGUCAAAAUUUCAGGUCUAGAUUUUUCACCUAAAAACUACUCAGGGGCAUGUUUUAUGUCAUUUGAAGUGGAUUU
Lates calcarifer (barramundi perch) is the source of this 564-nucleotide long non-coding RNA. RefSeq lists it as uncharacterized. The record is from RefSeq and is a predicted model, not a curated record. The transcript has 3 exons. NCBI's taxonomy places the organism in Eukaryota, Metazoa, Chordata, Actinopteri, Centropomidae.